CAUAAAGUGCCUGCCCUCUAGCCUCUACUCUUCCAGUUGCGGCUUAUUGCAUCACAGUAAUUGCUGUACGAAGGUCAGAAUCGCUACCUAUUGUCCAAAGCAGUCGUAAGAAGAGGUCCCAAUCCCCCACUCUUUCCGCCCUAAUGGAGGUCUCCAGUUUCGGUAAAAGUUUCAUUUGAUCUGAAUAGUAUUAAAAUAAAAUACCUGGAUGAGGAAGAUGAAGAGAGACGAAGUCUCGCUCUGUCACCAGGCUGGAGUGCAGUGGCGUGAUCUUGGCUCACUGCAACCUCUGCCUCCGGGUUCAAGCAAUUCUCCUGCUUCAGCCUCCCGAGUAGCUUGGGACUACAGACUAGAGACGGGGUUUCACUGUGUUAGCCAGGAUGGUCUCGAUCCCCUGACAUCGUGAUCCGCUGUCCUCGGUCUCCCAAAGUGCUGGGAUUACAGGCGUGAGCCACCGCACCUGGUCGAUUAACCUCUUUUAAGCCUGUUUUCUCAUCCAUACAAUGGAGAUAAUGGCAGCACCCACUGCUUGGUAAGGAAUAUUAGGUGAACACAGGUGCCUAUGUGGGUUCCUCCAUUUUCCAUAAAUGUUAAUUCCCUUAUCCCUCAUCUCCUAGGUUAGUCCCAGAGGACAGAUUUGAAGUUUGAAAACAGAAAGUAACUGCCAAAAGGGAUUAUUUAGGGCAGAGAUUGUCCCCUUUUAUUAUGCUUUAGGUCCUCAGUGGUGAGGGCAGGGGACAGGAGAAGUGGGAUCCAGCCCAAAUUCUUGGAUCUCAUCGUAGAGUGACUCUUUAGGGGCUUAGGAUUCUGCAUUUUGGACCCGUCCCCAGGGCAUUCUGAUGCCUGCAGUUCUCCUGUCUGGCUUUGAAUAACUCUGGGUAGUGCUUUAAAUCUAAGCUGACAUACCAGUGGGAUGUGAACUGUCCUUGCAAAUGUUUUGAGCCCUUCCUGCGCUGGCCUCCAACUCUGCCUUGCUCAGUCUGUCUUUAGCUCCUUUCCAUUCUGGCCUUCUCCCUUUCCUUUUUCACUUCCUUUUUUUUUUUUUUUGAGACAGGAUCUCACUCUGUUACCCAGGCUGGAGUGCAGUGGCAUGAUCUUCGCUCACUGCAAGCUCCGCCUCCCGGGUUCAAGCAAUUAUCAUACCUUAGCCUCCUGAGUAGCUGGGACUACAGGCGCACACCACCACACCCAGCUAAUUUUUGUAGUUUUAGUAGAGAUGGGGUUUCACCAUGUUGGCCAGGCUGGUCUCAAACUCCUGACCUCAAGUGAUCCGCCUGCCUCGGACACUCAAAGUGCUAGGAUUACAGGCGUGAGCCACCACGCCCAGCCUCCUUUUUCACUUCCUACCUUCCUCCCCACCUCUGGGUGUACCCUCCCCUGAGCUCAGCCUGUAUUUCUAUCUGCUGGCCACUUACCAGCCAGUCCUUUCAUCUACAAUGCCCUUUACUCACCUAGAAAGCUCACAUCAAAAGUCGCCUCCUCCAGAAUACCUCUCAAGUUCUCCUCUCUGGUCCCUUGACCCUUUGCAGGUACCUUUUUUCUUGUACAAGUCACAUGAUAAUGUAAGGGGUUUUUUUCCCCAUCUAGAGCCUGCCUGGUGGGCUCAUGGUCCAUUUGUGGAAACAUGCAUUUCCCUCUCCUCCGCCCCCCUCCUUCAUGAUCCAUGCUUUAAGAGCUUCCCCAAGGCAUGCAGAGCAAGCUGAGAAGAGGUAGACAAGCCUGCAGACCUUUCAAAGAAGUGGGGUGGCUUGGGAAGUAAAAGAAGAUCUGGAGAUAGGAGUUCCUAAAAAGCAGACAAGAGAUUACCGAGGGGUUCCCCACAGCUCCAGCACACAGCAGCUGCAAAAAAAAUGCAGUGGAAUUACUGAGGGACAUUAUGGGCUUGAUGGAGGACAGGGAAUGCUUGUGCCAAGCCACCAAGGAUCAUGCUGUGGCAGUUGUGACCAGAUAGACUAUACUUUUGCCAAGGUGAAAGGAUUUCCCUACUAAAUCCUUUACUUUCCACUUUGUUUAAAAUGAGUUUAACACCAAGAAAAUAGUUGUCUCUAUGUCCUUAUUUCUAAUCUUCCUGCUCAACCAUGAACUGCACUAAACACACUCAGACCCAUCUAACCUAAAAUUGAGAAAGGGAGGUUCUCACUCCUGGAGAGAGAAUUACUGAAAGGGCGGCCCUCAUACAGUUCAGGGUCAUACCCCCAAUAGCUGGUUUUAUAUUUGAAAGCAGACACUGGGACUCUGACCUUUGCAGAGAUAAAAGGGAUACUUUCCUAACCCAGAGAGGCCAAAGGAGCACAGGACGCCCAGGCCGAGGGCAGUGAAGCUUGCAGACCCAGGCUGUGCAACCCCCACAGCAGGUCUCCUCACGGGAUAGAUAGACUAUUGGCCCCAAUUCCUCAGCCCUACAUGCACCCACCCCUUGCCAUGGUUUCGUUGUGGGUGGAGGGUACUUUCCCAGCCCCUGGCUUUGGGCUUGCCCACGUGUCUUGCUCUGGCCAUGGAAUGAAGCACAAAGGAGAGCCUGCUAGUUCCUAACCCACGCCUGAAGACGCCUUAGGCGGUUCUGCGGACCCCGUGCACUUCCACCUUCAGCCAGAAGGCCUUCUCUGGUGCAGCCGUUGCUUCAGCCUCGGUCCAAAAGGAUCGGAGCCCCCUGGCCGAUCCGCAGGCCUGCAGGGAGCCACAGAGCGCAGCGGCCGGCCCAGCGUUCAAGCCCAAGCACAGGCCUGCAAGAACUUUCUUCCAACUGCCGUUUGGGAUGGUUGAUUAGGACGCGUUGCUGUGGCGGUAGCUCACCAAUCCAAUGCAUGCACCCGCUCCUUUAUUAGGCUAUAGGGCCAGUGGCUGCGACAGGGACCUGAUACAACAGUGCGUUAAAUAAGGAGCUUAUUGAGCUAUCAUGUCAUAAGCCGGUGGAGAAGUCCAGGCCUAGUGUAGGGUCUCUGGCCGGGGCUGUAGCCUUCAUCCGCGUGGAACCUUCCCAUGGUUCGCAGGUCGCGGUCUUCGGAGCCUUCAGCCUCGUGAGCCCGAACAGUCCAUAGGGCGGCGCCAGACCCUCUUCCCAACGCCACCCUCUAAAGCCUCGGCUCCAACCGAUUCCACUUCUGCUUCAGGCUCAGGAUUUUCACUCUUCUCGAAUGGGGGUGGCCCUCCCCUGAUCUUCUGAAUCGCAACAGCAUCUCCCUCCCUCCAGGACAUCAGAGCCAGAGCUGGGCGAGAGGCCCUGACCUCUGGGGUAGGGUGGCAGCGUCCCCUUGAAGAUGCGGUCCCGCCUCCCAUCCCCAGGCGCCCGGCCUCUCACACCCUCAGCACCCUGCUCACCUCCAGCUGAAGAUGCCAGGGCACCUCUGCUUCCUCCCUGCUCUCUGCAGUACCGCAGAGUGAGCAUAAAAGGGCUUAAUACAGGCUUCGCCGGGCGCAGGGCUCCCGCCUGUAAUUCCAGUACUUUGGGAGACCAAGGCGGGAGGGUCACUUGAGAACAGGAGUUCAAAACCAGCCUGGGCAACAAAGUGAGGCCCGUCUCUAACAAAGACAAUGAGAAAUAAAUCUAAAAAUUGGAUAGACUGAAACAGGCAAUGAGGAAAGGAUUCCCUAUUUAAUAAAUGGCAUUGGGAAAACUGGCUAGCCAUAUGCAGAAAACUGAAACUGGACCCCUUCCUUACACCUUAUACAAAAAUUAACUCAAGGUGGAUUAAAAACUUAAACAUAAGAUCUAAAACCAUAAAAACCCUAAAAGAAAACCUAGGCAAUACCAUUCAGGACAUAGGCAGGGGCAAAGACUUCAUGACUAAAACACCAAAAGCAGUGGCAACAAAAGCCAAAAUUGACAAAUGGAAUCUAAUUAAACUAAAGAGCUUCUGCACAGCAAAAGAAACUACCAUCAGAGUGAACAGGCAACCACAGAAUGGGAGAAAAUUUUUACAAUCUACCCAUCUGACAAAGGGCUAAUAUCCAGAAUCUACAAAGAACUUAAACAAAUUUACAAUAAAAAAUCAAACAACCCCAUCAAAAAGUGGGCAAAGGAUAUGAGCAGACACUUCUCAAAAGAAGACAUUUAUGCAGCCAACAGACACAUGGAAAAAUGCUCAUCAUCACUGGCCAUCAGAGACAUGCAAAUCAAAACCACAAUGAGAUACCAUCUCACACCAGUUAGAAUGUCAGUCAUUAAAAAGGAAACAACAGGUGCUGGAGAGGAUGUGGAGAAAUAGGAACGCUUUUACGCCAUUGGUGGGACUGUAAACUAGUUCAACCAUUGUGGAAAACAGUGUGGUGAUUCCUCAAGGAUCUAGAACUAGAAAUACCAUUUGACCCAGCGAUCCCAUUACUGGGCAUAUAUCCAAAGGAUUAUAAAUCAUGCUGCUAUAAAGACAAAUGCACACGUAUGUUCAUUGCGGCACUAUUCACAAUAGCAAAGACUUGGAACCAACCCAAAUGUCCAUCAAUGAUAGACUGGAUUAAGAAAAUGUGGCACAUAUACACCAUAAUAUACUAUGCAGUCCUAAAAAAUGAUGAGUUCAUGUCCUUUGUAGGGACAUGGAUGAAGCUGGAAACCAUCAUUCUGAGCAAACUAUCGCAAGGACAGAAAACCAAACACCACAUGUUCUCAUAGGUGGGAACUGAACAAUGAGGACACUUGGACACAGGGUGGGGAACAUCACACACCAGAGCCUAUUGUGGGGUGGGGGGAGGGGGGAGGGAUAGCAUUAGGAGAUAUCCUUAAUGUAAAUGACGAGUUAACAGGUGCAGCACACCAACAUGACACGUGUAUACCUAUGUAACAAACCUGCACGUUGUGCAC
RNAcentral lists this long non-coding RNA (4795 nucleotides) under Homo sapiens (human). RNAcentral describes it as "PREDICTED lncRNA (TCONS_00109989)". The stretch from base 163 to 225 matches the Rfam family "Neighbour of BRCA1 gene 2 converved region". Lineage: Eukaryota; Metazoa; Chordata; Mammalia; Primates; Hominidae. The record is from RNAcentral.